CAUUGGACCGGUGGUAUACGCAACUUUGUGGCCCGCUUUGUCGACGAAUAGAUCCGGCAGAAUGCUGAGAAGAGACGUACACAUGAUCAUACUGAGAUCACAGAAACCCUGUCAGUUAACUGCUGGUGGAUUCUUUCCUGUGUCCUUGGAGACCUCUACUAAGCUCGUCAGUACCGCAGUGUCUUACUUCACACUGCUGAAGCAGUCAUCGGAAUCCUAAUUACCCGUAUGCACGUGAAUUGCAAUUCAUUUCAUGGAGCAGGAAGCUGCCAUGAAAAUUAGUAUCCAUGGGCAUUGAUAGAACUACCAUAGAGAAUGUAAAACGUUGAUAUCUACGCUGAUAACUACCACGGAGUUACAACGAUGUAACGAUAAGACGACCUAUGCAAUGAUGACUGAAGCGAAACGCUGAUAACUCACGAAAUCAACGAAAUACCUAAUAAAUAUAGUAAACGAUAUGUGACCCCUAUCUUUCAAUAGUAUUCUACAUGAACAAAUAGAUAUUUUCGAUACAAGUAUUAACAUCAUGAUAACUUUUAUUAUCACUGUAUUUUCGAGAUAAAAGUCCGGUGGAAUGAAACAGA
Molecule: non-coding RNA, 584 nt
Organism: Megalopta genalis
Lineage: Eukaryota; Metazoa; Arthropoda; Insecta; Hymenoptera; Halictidae
Source: RefSeq, a predicted model, not a curated record